This 253-nucleotide ribosomal RNA is filed under the name uncultured bacterium. RNAcentral's name for it is "partial 16S ribosomal RNA". It matches the Rfam family "Bacterial small subunit ribosomal RNA", at positions 524 to 776 of the family's 1533-position model. The record is from RNAcentral.
UACGAAGGGGGCUAGCGUUGCUCGGAAUCACUGGGCGUAAAGCGCACGUAGGCGGACUCUUAAGUCGGUGGUGAAAUCCUGGAGCUCAACUCCAGAACUGCCUUCGAUACUGAGAGUCUCGAGUCCGGGAGAGGUGAGUGGAACUGCGAGUGUAGAGGUGAAAUUCGUAGAUAUUCGCAAGAACACCAGUGGCGAAGGCGGCUCACUGGCCCGAUACUGACGCUGAGGUGCGAAAGCGUGGGGAGCGAACAGG